Molecule: non-coding RNA, 584 nt
Organism: Paramormyrops kingsleyae
Lineage: Eukaryota; Metazoa; Chordata; Actinopteri; Osteoglossiformes; Mormyridae
Source: RefSeq, a predicted model, not a curated record
GUUUCCCUGGAUACCAGAAUAUAUGCGCUUGCUGGCACUGGAGCUCUGUUUCUGCUGGUAUUGGCGAUCAUAGGACGCAUCUUCCACGUCAGAGCCAAGAGGAAAGUGACCAAAGAAAACACAGUGUAUGCUGAAGCCAACAAGCCGCAUGUCAGAGAGAGGAGGACGCGGGACAUGCGCUCUAGACAGGCUUCACCAUCUGAAGAUGUUUCCACCAUCUAUGAAGAUGUGAGAAGCACACGUCGUUAAAAUAGCCAAUGAUUUUGAGCAUUGUCUUUGCAUUGCUAUUUUAGGCAGUGCAUUGUCACUGUGCUUUUGACCAACAAAAACCAUGUCCAAAGUUAUGGAGGACUAGACAUGACAUAAUUAAAAAUAAAUAAAUGUGUGAAUAAAUAAGUAAAUACUGAAAUAAAUAAAUACAUAAAUACAGUUUGGCCAUGAAAACUGCUAAAUGGAUUCCUAUAUUUGUUUAUUAACGUAUUUAAAUAUUUAUGAAUUUCCACAUUUCGUCAUUUAUUUAUUUAUGUAUUUCCACAUUUCUACAUUUAUUUAUUACUGUAUUUCCACAUUUCUACAUUUAUUUA